RNAcentral lists this small RNA (2261 nucleotides) under Rattus norvegicus (Norway rat). Its description in RNAcentral is "protein kinase C, epsilon like 1 (Prkcel1)". Lineage: Eukaryota; Metazoa; Chordata; Mammalia; Rodentia; Muridae. The record is from RNAcentral.
CAAACAAAUCAAAACCAAAGCCAGAACAAAUAUAUAAAUCAAUUGAAUUUAAUAUUAAUUGAAAUGAGUCGAAUCUUUUCUUCCCAGACAAUGCGGACAGUUUUUUGUUUGUCCGUUUUUUAAAGUUACACACAUUUUUAGGACUCACUGCCAAAUAAGCCCAGACAGGCAGGCCUAAUUCUCUGGGGUCCAAGUCUGACUCGGGAUUAAUGGGGAGACUCCAUGUUACGAUUCGCAGGUAUUUGUAGAUUCCUGCUACAGCACGAACAUGUGAGAGCAGCAGAACUUGUGGGUUUGCUCCCUGCCCUGUUUAAUAAGAACAGGCUGUGGUUUGGAGGAAAUCUGUCAGAACCAGGACACGGCAUCCCCAGUCCCAGUGGAAAACCUCCCAAAGCUAAACGUGGCUGUGAGAUAUUCGGCUGCUAAGAAAUACUGAGGGGGCUGGAGAGGUGUCCCAUGCCUGCAGUCCCCGUUCUUGGAAGGCUGAGGCAGGAAGACCAGUCUGAGGCCAACCUGGGCCACACGGUAUUUAGUAAAAUCUUUCCGAAAGAGAGAAGGAAAGAAAAUGUUGGGGUGGGGGAGGGUAGACGGGGAAGGGAAGGGAGAGGACACAAAAUUCAGAGAGGAUGUAAAAAGGAAGUGAGUCGGGUGGCUGCCUGGCUGCAUUCCCCAGUGUUGUGAGCUCACAAACCUGACGACACUUCCUGAAGGUGUCCACCCAGACUGGCCACAAGGGGGCAUGAGAGCCAACGUCUUGGCUUUUGUUUUCUUUUUUCCCCCUGGAUUCUCUCUGACUGAGAACACAUUGGGGGAGGACCCAGAGGGCAGAGGCACUACUGGAUGAGUCCUUGUGGCUCAGUGCCACAGGAGCAGUGACUCAGGCACUUCAUCCUUGGGUGUCUCAAAACCGUGCGAGAGCCGGCACAAAGGUCUCCCUCGCUUUCUAAGCACAUUCCUGCUCUGCCUGUGAAUUAUUACACCGGGGACGGGGAGGAGGGCGGAACAAACCAGUAUCCUAAACUGACACUAGCGGCGCAAACCCCGAAGGAGUCUGUGGUGGGUACGGAGCAGAGCGCAGGUCCAUCUUCAGGGGGUCAGGUCAAGGUCAAGAUGGUGCCCUUGGCAUAAAUGACGAGAGUGGCUGGCUCUCAAUGCCUGGUUUCUCAGGUAAGAGCCAAGCCUCAUAUACCCGGCUGCAGGCUGGCUUGGGGACUGUCGUACCAGACCAUCGGCGUGGUGGAACUUUCCGAUCAGCAGAACACUGCCCCAAGACCAUAUCUGGACUUAAACCUCAGGCAUCACCAGGCACCACCAGGCAGCAUGGCAGAGAUAUUUGAGGCACACAAAGCAGACCGUACGACGGAUACAUUAAGUGGAAUCCAGACUCCAUGAGUUAUCUGUCGAUGGUAGUCUCCCUAAGUCAAUCAUGGUACAGCCAGGUCCAUGAGCAACCUGCAAGUGCGAGGCCAUCUUCAGACUCUGUAAGAGGCAUCUGCAGUAAAGGCUGGCCAGCAGGAGCCUCUGGGAGUUUCCUGAGUGUGGGCAGACAGUCUGGAUUUAGGAGUCAUUUCCUGUGCUCGUGAGACUCAUUGGAUAUACAAAGUGAACCACCAGGCACUAUUCUGGAUCUGUCAUUAACUAUGCAAUUUUGGUCACAUUUUCUGAGUACCCUCAGCCUCCACCCCAUCUUUGAACCAAUAAACAGUAGCAGCCUAUCUUCAGACUUAUCACCCUGUGACUCUCUAACCCAUGUGUUUUGCCAACACCAAAGUCAACCCCCUUUAAACUCACCCCAUGACAUCCUGUUCUGCUAUCUUUAGACUCCAUGGGCCCUCACUUUUCUUCUGGUGUAUCACACAGCAUAAUAAUCAGGUGACUGAAUUGGGGGUGUCACCUGUCUGCCAAAGGAUACUAAUGACUUUGCUCACACUGUAUUUUUCAGAAAUGACAGCAUGUAACCUUUGCUUUGUCCGUUGGUUCACUGAAUGGUUCAUAAAUGCAACGGCAAAGUACUUGGAGCCAUCCUGGACUGGACACUGUGGUGGCCAUCCAGGAACACAGUGCACUAAAGCCAGGCCACACCCUCAGGGUGUGCGUGCUCUGUGGGAAUGCACAACUAAAUGCAACUAAAUAACAAUAUAAUUCUACCAGGAAGAUCUGUGCGUGUGGAAGGCAGAGGGAAGGGGCCAGGAGAUAAGGAUGAGCGACGCAGAAGGAGGGGACAUAUCUGAUGGAGUGAGGUUGGGAGUCAGAGGCACGGA